Non-coding RNA from Pangasius djambal, 71 nucleotides. Lineage: Eukaryota; Metazoa; Chordata; Actinopteri; Siluriformes; Pangasiidae. The record is from the annotation of a GenBank genome assembly.
GGCUUGGUGGCAUAGUGGUUAGCAUAUUUACCUUGCACUUCCAGGUGGGGGUUCGAUUCCCACCUCUGCCC